CUACGGGGUGCUCCAGUGGGGAAUAUUGGACAAUGGGGGAAACCCUGAUCCAGCAAUGCCGCGUGUGUGAAGAAGGCCUGCGGGUUGUAAAGCACUUUCGGUUGGGAGGACUGCUUCUAGCACUAAUAUUGUUGGAAGUUGACGUUACCUUCAGAAGAAGCACCGGCUAACUCCGUGCCAGCAGCCGCGGUAAUACGGAGGGUGCAAGCGUUAAUCGGAAUUACUGGGCGUAAAGCGCGCGUAGGCGGCUAGAUCAGUCGGGUGUGAAAGCCCCGGGCUUAACCUGGGAACUGCAUCCGAUACUGUCUAGCUUGAGUACAGGAGAGGAGAGUGGAAUUCCACAUGUAGCGGUGAAAUGCGUAGAUAUGUGGAGGAACACCAAUGGCGAAGGCAGCUCUCUGGCCUGAUACUGAUGCUGAGGUGCGAAAGCGUGGGGAGCAACAGGAUUAGAUACCCUCGUAGUC
Molecule: ribosomal RNA, 464 nt
Filed under: uncultured bacterium
Lineage: Bacteria
Description: partial 16S ribosomal RNA
Rfam family: Bacterial small subunit ribosomal RNA
Source: RNAcentral